Molecule: long non-coding RNA, 325 nt
Filed under: Dasypus novemcinctus (nine-banded armadillo)
Lineage: Eukaryota; Metazoa; Chordata; Mammalia; Cingulata; Dasypodidae
Description: lncRNA (ENSDNOG00000050290.1)
Source: RNAcentral
UCCCAGCCGUCCCGGAGCCGGUCGCGGCGCACCGCCGCGGUGGAAAUGCGCCCGGCGGCGGCCGCUCGCCGGCCGGGGGGCGGUCCCCCGCCGGCCCCACCCCCGGCCCCGCCCCCCCCGGCCGGGGCCGGGAGGGAGCUGACCGGGUUGGUUUUGAUCUGAUAAAUGCACGCAUCCCCCCCGCGAAGGGGGUCAGCGCCCGUCGGCAUGUAUUAGCUCUAGAAUUACCACAGUUAUCCAAGUAGGAGAGGAGCGAGCGACCAAAGGAACCAUAACUGAUUUAAUGAGCCAUUCGCAGUUUCACUGUACCGGCCGUGCGUACUUA